GAUGAAGAACGCAGCGAAACGCGAUAUGUAAUGUGAAUUGCAGAAUUCAGUGACUCAUCGAAUCUUUGAACGCACAUGGCGCCUUCCAGUAUCCUGGGAGGCAUGCCUGUCCGAGCGUCGUUUCAACCCUCGAGCCCUCGUGGCCCGGCGUUGGGGAUCUGCCACGGCAGGCCCCGAAAUACAGUGGCGGACCCGUUAGGCCCUUCCUUUGCGUAGUAGCAUCAGCCUCGCAUCGGGAGCCGGCGGGCUCUCCUGCCUCUAAACCCCCCAACAAGCCCGCUCCGGCGGCACCAAGGUUGACCUCGGAUCAGGUAGGAAUACCCGCUGAACUUAAGCAUAUCAAUAAGCGGAGGA
RNAcentral lists this unclassified non-coding RNA (354 nucleotides) under soil metagenome. Its description in RNAcentral is "partial contains 5.8S ribosomal RNA, internal transcribed spacer 2, and large subunit ribosomal RNA". The stretch from base 1 to 120 matches the Rfam family "5.8S ribosomal RNA", at positions 35 to 154 of the family's 154-position model. The record is from RNAcentral.